ACGUACACUCCUACGGGAGGCAGCAGUGGGGAAUAUUGGACAAUGGGCGCAAGCCUGAUCCAGCCAUGCCGCGUGAGUGAUGAAGGCCCUAGGGUUGUAAAGCUCUUUCACCGGUGAAGAUAAUGACGGUAACCGGAGAAGAAGCCCCGGCUAACUUCGUGCCAGCAGCCGCGGUAAUACGAAGGGGGCUAGCGUUGUUCGGAUUUACUGGGCGUAAAGCGCACGUAGGCGGACUAUUAAGUCAGGGGUGAAAUCCCGGGGCUCAACCCCGGAACUGCCUUUGAUACUGGUAGUCUUGAGUUCGAGAGAGGUGAGUGGAAUUCCGAGUGUAGAGGUGAAAUUCGUAGAUAUUCGGAGGAACACCAGUGGCGAAGACGGCAUACG
Molecule: ribosomal RNA, 384 nt
Filed under: uncultured organism
Description: partial 16S ribosomal RNA
Rfam family: Bacterial small subunit ribosomal RNA
Source: RNAcentral